This 425-nucleotide ribosomal RNA is filed under the name uncultured bacterium. Its description in RNAcentral is "bacterial SSU rRNA". It matches the Rfam family "Bacterial small subunit ribosomal RNA", at positions 917 to 1344 of the family's 1533-position model. The record is from RNAcentral.
GGGCCCGCACAAGCGGUGGAGUAUGUGGUUUAAUUCGAUGCAACGCGAAGAACCUUACCUGGUCUUGACAUACACAGAAUCUUGUAGAGAUACGAGAGUGCCUUCGGGAAUUGUGAUACAGGUGCUGCAUGGCUGUCGUCAGCUCGUGUCGUGAGAUGUUGGGUUAAGUCCCGCAACGAGCGCAACCCUUGUCCUUAGUUGCCAGCAUUUAGUUGGGCACUCUAGAGAGACUGCCGGUGAUAAACCGGAGGAAGGUGUGGAUGACGUCAAGUCAUCAUGGCCCUUACGUGUAGGGCUACACACGUGCUACAAUGGCAUUUACAGAGGGAAGCGAGACAGUGAUGUGGAGCGGACCCUUAAAGAAUGUCGUAGUCCGGAUUGGAGUCUGCAACUCGACUCCAUGAAGUCGGAAUCGCUAGUAAUCG